Molecule: ribosomal RNA, 249 nt
Filed under: uncultured bacterium
Lineage: Bacteria
Description: partial 16S ribosomal RNA
Rfam family: Bacterial small subunit ribosomal RNA
Source: RNAcentral
UAGGGGGCAAGCGUUGUCCGGAUUUAUUGGGCGUAAAGAGCGUGUAGGCGGUUUGGUAGGUCCGCUGUGAAAACUCGAGGCUCAACCUCGAGACGACGGUGGAAACCAUCAGGCUAGAGUCCGGAAGAGGAGAGUGGAAUUCCUGGUGUAGCGGUGAAAUGCGCAGAUAUCAGGAAGAACACCCGUGGCUAAGGCGGCUCUCUAGUACGGUACUGACGCUGAGACGCGAAAGCGUGGGGAGCGAACAGG